AGUGAACGCUGGCGGUAGGCCUAACACAUGCAAGUCGAACGGCAGCACAGUAAGAGCUUGCUCUUACGGGUGGCGAGUGGCGGACGGGUGAGGAAUACAUCGGAAUCUACUUUUUCGUGGGGGAUAACGUAGGGAAACUUACGCUAAUACCGCAUACGACCUACGGGUGAAAGCAGGGGAUCUUCGGACCUUGCGCGAUUGAAUGAGUCGAUGUCGGAUUAGCUAGUUGGCGGGGUAAAGGCCCACCAAGGCGACGAUCCGUAGCUGGUCUGAGAGGAUGAUCAGCCACACUGGAACUGAGACACGGUCCAGACUCCUACGGGAGGCAGCAGUGGGGAAUAUUGGACAAUGGGCGCAAGCCUGACCCAGCCAUACCGCGUGGGUGAAGAAGGCCUUCGGGUUGUAAAGCCCUUUUGUUGGGAAAGAAAAGCAGCAGGUUAAUACCCCGCUGUUCUGACGGUACCCAAAGAAUAAGCACCGGCUAACUUCGUG
Molecule: ribosomal RNA, 492 nt
Filed under: uncultured bacterium
Lineage: Bacteria
Description: partial 16S ribosomal RNA
Rfam family: Bacterial small subunit ribosomal RNA
Source: RNAcentral